Populus euphratica (Euphrates poplar) is the source of this 2110-nucleotide long non-coding RNA. RefSeq lists it as uncharacterized. NCBI's taxonomy places the organism in Eukaryota, Viridiplantae, Streptophyta, Magnoliopsida, Malpighiales, Salicaceae. The record is from RefSeq and is a predicted model, not a curated record. The transcript is spliced from 6 exons.
AAUUUUUGACAAGAGGGACAAGAUUCACGGUGAUAUAUUUAUUAUGUUAUAAAUGAAUAACCCAUUGAUUUUUUUGUCAAUGCAGCCUCUCGAUUAAGAUGAAUCUUUGGAUUUUGAAUGCUAUCUUGUGAGUUUCUGCAGGAAGGACGGUCAUGAGAGGGCUUUCAUCCUUUAGCUUCUAGAUCAUAGCCUGAACUCAAUAACUUCCGUAAAUCUAAAAAGUCAUUCAAUCAGUAAAAGUUCCCGACACAAAAGUAACCUCUCAAAGCGCAAAACUGAUCAACUUCAAAGGCAAACCAACAACACUGAUGCUACUUUGACAGGUAAUAAUAGUCUUUCUUCACUAAUCUUCCAGCUUAAAAAAGCCCAACUCAGUUUCCAGUCCCAAAAGGUUAUUUCAUAGAAAAGGAGCCUGCCUUGUGGAUGUUGGCUUGCGAUACAUUAUUCCGCUGCCUGUCAGAGAAGUGUAUGCCAAGAGAGGCAGGUGCAUUAUCGACGAAACUUGGGUAGGGGGGUUACUGGCCUGACAUUUCGACGUUUAACAUCCCAGUGACUUGUUUGCUAGAGGGCGUGGAUGUCAAUGAGACGUGUGGGAUGUUGGAUAGAUUUAUUGAACAGGGUGCGAAGUUGGGGUUUAGCAUUUACCUUGAAUUGAUUGAAACUUUGUACAAGGCAGGAAGAGGUAUGGAGGGUGAUCCGUAAUAGAAUCAAAUGGUCACAGAUGGACUUGUGUCAGAUGUCUUUUCUCAUAACAUGCCAGUUGAUUGCUUCUGCAAAGCCAAUGUGAUGAACGAGGCAGCAAAGGCUUUCAAAGUGAUGCAAGAUAAGAGGUUGAUGAUGCUUUAGGCUGUUUCAGUGAAAUGGUGGAGUGGGGUAUCUCUCUUAAUGCUGUCACGGACAAUAUAUUGAUUGAUUGGUUCUCUGUGUGUUAGAGGGGAUGCUGUUAGAUCAAUGAAACUCUUGCUAGACAUGCAAAAACAUGGAAAAAGCAUUGAUAUUUUAUCUGCAUUUCUUGUUGGGGUGUCUAUAUUCUGCUGCAGCCUAGGGAGGCGGACGAAGAUGGGCCUCAAACAGGCACAGGAAUUGCUGGCGGCAUGCCUCAAACAGUCACAGGCAUUGUAGAUGCUGAUCCGGCUGAAGUUGUUGCAAAAGCUUUGCCAUGUUUCAACAAUAAAUAUGUAAGUGGGAUCUUGAUUUUAUCCACCCAUGGUAGGAUACAUGCGGUCGAGUACGUUGAAAUAUGUUCGAUUAAUCAUCGCUGCUUCACCCAGUGAUCCUUUUAUGUGCUUGUUUCUGACUUGCAUAUUAAUGUUGCCUGUUAGGUUUAUAAUUUCCUUCACUUACCUCCACUGCUGGGUUAAGUACUUACGUUUCUGGGAGCUGUCUCUGGUGUGGUCUUUCUUGGGCAUUGUUCUUUGUUCAUUUUCUCUUUAGCUCCAAAAGAGUUAUCAUGUGAAACGUUUAAUCAGUGGUCAAAAUGUUCUUUCAUGCUUCGUACAAAUUGCUUUGGCAUUGAUUUUUGCUAAGUCCCGGCUUUACAGCAGCUAUCAAGAAGCCUAUAGAUUGACCUAGACUGGUAACCUUAAUGGGCUUCCUGAAUAUGUUGAUCCCUACUGCAAUGGACCGUGCCCUUCAGAGACAAAUUUGGUGAUCGAAAACAUCACGAAAAACUUUGUUUUCUAUAAUAAAUCCACCAUAGAGGAUGUUCGAGACACAAUCAAGGCAGGAUGUUGCUAUGGUCCCGAAAGAGGUAAUUUUGACGUGUCUGAGCACCUUCAAGCUGAACAAAACAAUGCAUACAACACCGCAAAUCAGAUUCUGCUAGGACUUGGCUUCAUGUUUGCUGGGCCUGCUUUGUUGCUUUGAUAUUUAUUAUGAUGUCUGCAAUUUGUGGUUGGAGGUUGCUUGUUUUCAGAGGGAUUUCUUCUAGUUGAGAUGUUCUGAGAGAGGAGACGAGCGUUAUUUUUCGCUAGCUUGAAGUUAAUGUGCUCAUUUUGGCAUUCAGAAAGAAAAUAACAAGUUAUAUUUGUGUCCUGGUAUGUAAUAGCAAAAUGUGCAGUUUUGAAAGCUUGAUUUGAUGAGUUCCUGGAACUAAAUUUUGUUCAAGCUA